CGGCACGCUCCAUGGCAACCUGAAACUGGGGAAGGACGGAAGGAGUUCUCUGCCACUAUGGCGCUGCCGAUGCUGCCUGGCAAUUCUCUUAUCAAAAACGUGCUGAGCUUCGACGCGUUCUUUUGGGAGGCUGUGCCUCAGAAAGCGAGAGGAGAAGUAUCACGUUGCAUCUGAACCUCCUAGCCAGUGGCACAUAAGGAUUUUCCCCAGAUAAAAAACGUCAGCCCGGAGAGAUUACAGACCGAAGGGUACUCAACAUGUUUGGUCCUAUGGGCCAGGCAGGAUGCUACAUCCUGGACACCCUCAAAAUGGGUGCGGUCCAAGAGAAGUUCUAUAAGAAGGGGGGACACUGGGACGUGUGGUCAAUGUGUGGGGAUGCAGGGUGGUCAUCUGUGACUGUGACAACUUCAGCAAAGCGUUCUACUGCUCCAAAUACGGCGUUGGUGCUUGCUGGGGGGUCUGCAGUGUGGUCUGUCAGAACACGAGGAGAUGAUGUCGAGUCGUAGUUUCUGUGAGCGCCAGCUGCCCGAGGCGGAGGUUGGCCUCACGCUGGCUGUGGCUCAGGACCACCUCCGCAAGAAAGACUUUGAGAGAUUCUCCGACAUGACCCGAUCCUUCACACACAAGGACCAACACAGUUUGACAUGGACUGGAGGUGAAGAGCAUUAACUACUCUGUCCUCCUGGAAGAUAUGUUCGGUAGUGUCCAGACCAACAUCGACCCAACACUCUAACCGGCCCAACACAGGCAACACAGAGACAAAGAUAUGGAGAAGAAACCACCAGAUAGAUCAUCAGCCUAUGAAAUCAAUCACCUCACUGCUCGCUGUAUAUAUUAUCCUCUUUCAAUAAAAGACAUGGAUUAUGGCC
RNAcentral lists this long non-coding RNA (869 nucleotides) under Salmo salar (Atlantic salmon). Its description in RNAcentral is "lncRNA (ENSSSAG00000092451.1)". Lineage: Eukaryota; Metazoa; Chordata; Actinopteri; Salmoniformes; Salmonidae. The record is from RNAcentral.